GCACAGUCUAAAAAGGUUCAAACCCAAAUUUUGAAAGGCCAACCUGCCUAACAGUUUAUGUAUUACAAUGGUAACAUGUUUAAGAAAGGUGUGCCAGAGUAUGCCAAAGGUGCCUUUAAUGCCCAAGCACUUAAGCAGCAAGUCUAAUAAUGAGAAGCUUGGUUGGGAGCUUGACUGAGACCUUAGUAAUCAUGUUUUGGUGUUGUUUAAGCAAGAAAAAUAACAAGAGUUAAACUUAUUUUUAAGGACAGGAGUAAUUUGCAAUUUCAAGAUUCUCUGAAAAGGCUAUGUAAAUGUCUUUAAGAGUCUUCAUUUUUUUAUUUCGAGUCCUUAUUGGUUUAGAGUAACAUUAAUCCUCUUAGUUUUCUUCAGCACUCCAAAUCCUUCAUAGGAUUAAGACUAGUUUUGAGAGUUUAACAUCUGAAAGGUUUAGGCUUAAUUUGAGUUUAUAAAUGCUCGUUCUCGUAAUGCUUUAUUAUUUUCAAUCAAUAAAAGUUCUUGCAAUUGUUGCCAUUUGGAUUGUGUGAUGCAUUUCAACCCUAGGUGUGGUUCCUCUUUAAGUGUAAAUCAUAGAAUUUUUAAUAAUUUUUUAUUUCAACCAGAUAUGAAAUUCUGCAAAUAACUCUAGAUUUCAGCCAUCCAUAUUUAACCCUAGUUGUAUUUUAGUUCUUAUUCCUAGCUUUUAAAUCAACUCAAAACCAGUCCAAGAAACAAAGCGUGCAAACUGUCUUUGUGUCAACCAUGAACUGUUCUAUUCUCAAAUAUAUAUGGAUGAAGGAUUGCUGAAAUCAGAAUUCUUUUCUUGCAUUCCACAAUUGCCCCAAAUAAUAGAAAAGACAGGAUGUUCAAUUGCU
This 854-nucleotide unclassified non-coding RNA is filed under the name Hevea brasiliensis (rubber tree). The record is from RNAcentral. Lineage: Eukaryota; Viridiplantae; Streptophyta; Magnoliopsida; Malpighiales; Euphorbiaceae.